Molecule: non-coding RNA, 998 nt
Organism: Coffea arabica (coffee)
Lineage: Eukaryota; Viridiplantae; Streptophyta; Magnoliopsida; Gentianales; Rubiaceae
Source: RefSeq, a predicted model, not a curated record
UCCAAAUUCUAAAUUCUGAUUCCGAAUUCCCAAUGAACUUGUCUCGCUCUCUCUCUCUCUCUCUCUCUCUCAAAUGGUCAAACCUAAUUCCACCUCCUCCAUUUUCCUCCCAAUACGGCCAACGAAUAUGGGGCAACCACCUUCAUCUUUGAGAUACAAAGGAAUUCCAGAAGAAUAGACAGAUUGAUUGCUAAUUGGUUUCGACGCCUGAAGCUAGGGUUUUAACACGAGGAAGAUAGACCUCCUCCAUUUUUAUUCUCAGCAGUUGAAAUCGAUUCCCAAUUGCAGUGCUUCUCCAUGUAAUUUUGAUCAUCGGUGAACUAAUUGUAGCUUUGAGAGAACUUACCUAACAAUUUUGCUAGCUAUUCUGGUUCAAAAGCAAGAGUCCAGCCCAUAUUGCAGAUGGAAAUGAAAUCGCCUGAGAAACUCAAUACAGUCGUUGUCUUGAAACAGCCAGAUAGCAGCCGUUGGCAGAAGAUUAAUACAUGCAAUGGCUUCUAGUUGGCUAUUUCCCAAAUAAGCUUAUAAACCCAAGAUGCGGACUGAAGACUGGACUGGCUGGUUGGUUACCCCAUCUCCAACGAUGCAGUUAUUACUAAACUCUGGGAAUCAUUUGCAUCUGUGUCACUGGAAAAUGUUGGCUGUUGCAUUGCAAUGUUCGGUGAACUAGCAGAAUUCAUGUGCGUUCCGGUCGGUAAGCCACCAAGUGAAGUCUGUGGAGGAUUGUUAGAUGAUGAUGCUUUUGGAGACUGGAAAGGAGAAGGAUUGAGUUGCGGUUGUAGUAAGGUACUCAAGGAACACUUGGAGAUGGCAUCUGAACACCAUUUCCUCCAUAAGGACAGUUUGCACUACUCUUCGGGUUUUUGCUGUCUCGAGUUCAUUGAGUUUUGAUGACGCAGCCCACAUAUAUAUGGCACUAGUAAAGGAAGUUGCAGGAGCCGAAUUCAGUGGAUUAUUUACAUUUGCCAUGCCAUUUCUGGAAGGAAGUUGCAAUUAUU